UACGGAGGAUGCAAGCGUUCUCCGGAAUGAUUGGGCGUAAAGCGUCCGCAGGUGGCUGUGUAAGUCUGCUGUCACAGAGCGAAGCUCAACUUCGUAAAGGCAGUGGAAACUACACGGCUAGAGUGCGUUCGGGGCAGAGGGAAUUCCUGGUGUAGCGGUGAAAUGCGUAGAGAUCAGGAAGAACACCGGUGGCGAAGGCGCUCUGCUAGGCCGCAACUGACACUGAGGGACGAAAGCUAGGGGAGCGAAUGGG
RNAcentral lists this ribosomal RNA (253 nucleotides) under uncultured bacterium. Its description in RNAcentral is "partial 16S ribosomal RNA". It matches the Rfam family "Bacterial small subunit ribosomal RNA", at positions 524 to 776 of the family's 1533-position model. The record is from RNAcentral.